This 460-nucleotide ribosomal RNA is filed under the name uncultured bacterium. Its description in RNAcentral is "partial 16S ribosomal RNA". It matches the Rfam family "Bacterial small subunit ribosomal RNA", at positions 338 to 795 of the family's 1533-position model. The record is from RNAcentral.
CCUACGGGUGGCUGCAGUGAGGAAUAUUGGUCAAUGGACGAGAGUCUGAACCAGCCAAGUAGCGUGAAGGAUGACUGCCCUAUGGGUUGUAAACUUCUUUUAUAUGGGAAUAAAAUGUUCCACGUGUGGGAUUUUGUAUGUACCAUAUGAAUAAGGAUCGGCUAACUCAGUGCCAGCAGCCGCGGUAAUACGGAGGAUCCGAGCGUUAUCCGGAUUUAUUGGGUGUAAAGGGAGCGUAGGUGGAUUGUUAAGUCAGUUGUGAAAGUUUGCGGCUCAACCGUAGAAUUGCAGUUGAAACUGGCAGUCUUGAGUACAGUAGAGGUGGGCGGAAUUCGUGGUGUAGCGGUGAAAUGCUUAGAUAUCACGAAGAACUCCGAUUGCGAAGGCAGUUCACUGGACUGCAACUGACGCUGAGGCUCGAAAGUGUGGGUAUCAAACAGGAUUAGAUACCCGUGUAGUC